AUUGAACGCUGGCGGCAUGCCUUACACAUGCAAGUCGAACGGUAACAGGUCUUCGGAUGCUGACGAGUGGCGAACGGGUGAGUAAUAUAUCGGAACGUGCCCAGUCGUGGGGGAUAACGCAGCGAAAGCUGUGCUAAUACCGCAUACGAUCUAUGGAUGAAAGCGGGGGAUCGCAAGACCUCGCGCGAUUGGAGCGGCCGAUAUCAGAUUAGGUAGUUGGUGGGGUAAAGGCCCACCAAGCCAACGAUCUGUAGCUGGUCUGAGAGGACGACCAGCCACACUGGAACUGAGACACGGUCCAGACUCCUACGGGAGGCAGCAGUGGGGAAUUUUGGACAAUGGCGCAAGCCUGAUCCAGCAAUGCCGCGUGCAGGAUGAAGGCCUUCGGUUGUAAACUGCUUUGUACGGAACGAAAAGGCUACUGGUUAAUACCUGGGGCUCAUGACGGUACCGUAAGAAUAAGACACCGGCUAACUAACGUGCC
This 484-nucleotide ribosomal RNA is filed under the name uncultured bacterium. RNAcentral's name for it is "bacterial SSU rRNA". It matches the Rfam family "Bacterial small subunit ribosomal RNA", at positions 30 to 509 of the family's 1533-position model. The record is from RNAcentral.